RNAcentral lists this ribosomal RNA (902 nucleotides) under Escovopsis weberi. RNAcentral describes it as "partial 28S ribosomal RNA". It matches the Rfam family "Eukaryotic large subunit ribosomal RNA", at positions 36 to 963 of the family's 3401-position model. The record is from RNAcentral. Lineage: Eukaryota; Fungi; Ascomycota; Sordariomycetes; Hypocreales; Hypocreaceae.
AAGCAUAUCAAUAAGCGGAGGAAAAGAAACCAACAGGGAUUGCCCCAGUAACGGCGAGUGAAGCGGCAACAGCUCAAAUUUGAAAUCUGGCCCCUCGGGGCCCGAGUUGUAAUUUGUAGAGGAUGCUUCUGGCGAGGCGCCGCCUGAGUUCCCUGGAACGGGACGCCAUAGAGGGUGAGAGCCCCGUCUGGCUGGCCGCCGAGCCUCUGUGAAGCUCCUUCGACGAGUCGAGUAGUUUGGGAAUGCUGCUCAAAACGGGAGGUAUAUGUCUUCUAAAGCUAAAUAUUGGCCAGAGACCGAUAGCGCACAAGUAGAGUGAUCGAAAGAUGAAAAGCACUUUGAAAAGAGGGUUAAACAGUACGUGAAAUUGUUGAAAGGGAAGCGCUUGCGACCAGACUCGGGCGCGGCGGAUCAUCCGGCGUUCUCGCCGGUGCACUCCGCCGUGCUCGGGCCAGCAUCGGUUCGCCUCGGGGGAGAAAGGCGUCGGGAAUGUGGCUCCCUCGGGAGUGUUAUAGCCCGGCGUGGAAUACCCUGGGGCGGACCGAGGACCGCGCGUUUUACGCAAGGAUGCUGGCGUAAUGGUCGCCAGCGACCCGUCUUGAAACACGGACCAAGGAGUCGUCCUCGUAUGCGAGUGUUCGGGUGUCAAACCCCUACGCGUAAUGAAAGUGAACGCAGGUGAGAGCUUCGGCGCAUCAUCGACCGAUCCUGAUGUUCUCGGAUGGAUUUGAGUAAGAGCAUACGGGGCCGGACCCGAAAGAAGGUGAACUAUGCCUGUGUAGGGUGAAGCCAGAGGAAACUCUGGUGGAGGCUCGCAGCGGUUCUGACGUGCAAAUCGAUCGUCAAACAUGGGCAUGGGGGGCGAAAGACUAAUCGAACCUUCUAGUAGCUGGUUUCCGCCG